RNAcentral lists this ribosomal RNA (400 nucleotides) under uncultured bacterium. RNAcentral describes it as "bacterial SSU rRNA". It matches the Rfam family "Bacterial small subunit ribosomal RNA", at positions 355 to 746 of the family's 1533-position model. The record is from RNAcentral.
UAGGGAAUAUUGCGCAAUGGGCGAAAGCCUGACGCAGCAAUGCCGCGUGAGUGAGGAAGGCCUUCGGGUUGUAAAGCUCUGUCACCAGAGAAAAACGGCAGUGCGGUUAAUAGUCGCAUUGAUUGAUGGUAUCUGGAGAGGAAGCACCGGCAAACUUCGUGCCAGCAGCCGCGGUAAUACGAAGGGUGCAAGCGUUGUUCGGAUUUAUUGGGCGUAAAGCGCGCGCAGGCGGAUCGGCAAGUCAGAUGUGAAAUCUCGGGGCUCAACCCCGAAACUGCGUCUGAAACUACCGACCUUGAAUACUGGAGAGGGAGGGGGAAUUUCGCAUGUAGGGGUAAAAUCCGUAGAUAUGCGAAGGAACACCGGAGGCGAAGGCGCCCUCCUGGCCGGUUAUUGACGC